CCUCCGAGGGUCAGGGUCGAGGUUACCCGCUGGAGGGCGGGGCGGAGAAGAAAGAAGGUUGCUGGUGAACGGGACAGAUAGGCUGGGGACGCCCGGGGAGCGGCAGAGAGUCUCGGCGCGGGAGACGGAGUCCCGGCAAGGGGUCCCGCGCGGAGGCGGGGGCGGGCGCUGAAGGGCGGGGCGGGGAGGGGCGGCCGUCUCGGCCCUCCCUGGCGGGGCCCCGCGGCCUGGAAGCCGGAGCGGGCCGAGCCGCCACCGCGGCCGGAGCUGUCCCUUGGCCAGACCCGGCGAGACACGAGCGGCGGGAGGGAGGCGGUGGCGCGCCCGGCCCCGCCCGCCCGACCAAGCUUCGGACGCGGCCCGGCGCCGAGCCAUGGAGCCUGAGCCAGUGGAGGACUGUGUGCAGAGCACUCUCGCCGCCCUGUAUCCACCCUUUGAGGCAACAGCCCCCACCCUGUUGGGCCAGGUGUUCCAGGUGGUGGAGAGGACUUAUCGGGAGGACGCACUGAGGUACACGCUGGACUUCCUGGUACCAGCUAAGCACCUGCUUGCCAAGGUCCAGCAGGAAGCCUGUGCCCAAUACAGUGGAUUCCUCUUCUUCCAUGAGGGGUGGCCGCUCUGCCUGCAUGAACAGGUGGUGGUGCAGCUAGCAGCCCUACCCUGGCAACUGCUGCGCCCAGGAGACUUCUAUCUGCAGGUGGUGCCCUCAGCUGCCCAAGCACCACGACUAGCACUCAAGUGUCUGGCCCCUGGGGGUGGGCGGGUGCAGGAGAUUCCUGUGCCCAGUGAGGCUUGUGCCUACCUAUUCACACCUGAGUGGCUACAAGGCAUCAACAAGGACCGGCCAACAGGUCGCCUAAGUACCUGCCUAGUGUCUGCACCCUCUGGGAUUCAGCGGCUGCCCUGGGCUGAGCUCAUCUGUCCACGAUUUGUGCACAAAGAGGGCCUCAUGGUUGGACAUCAGCCAAGUACGCUGCCCCCAGAACUGCCCUCUGGACCUCCAGGGCUUCCCAGCCCUCCACUUCCUGAGGAGGCACUGGGUACCCGGAGUCCUGGGGAUGGGCACAAUGCCCCUGUGGAAGGACCUGAGGGUGAGUAUGUGGAGCUGUUGGAGGUGACGCUGCCCGUGAGGGGGAGCCCAGCAGAUGCUGAAGGCUCCCCGGGCCUCUCCAGAGUCCGGACGGUACCCACCCGCAAGGGCGCUGGAGGGAAGGGUCGCCACCGGAGACACCGGGCAUGGAUGCACCAGAAGGGCCUGGGGCCUCGGGACCAGGAUGGAGCACGCCCACCCGGUGAGGGGAGCAGCACCGGAGCCUCCCCUGAGUCUCCCCCAGGAGCUGAGGCUGUCCCAGAGGCAGCAGUCUUGGAGGUGUCUGAGCCCCCAGCAGAGACCGUGGGAGAAGCCUCCGAAUCUUGCCCCCUGAGGCCAGGGGAGCUUAGAGGAGGAGGAGGCGGCCAGGGGGCUGAAGGACCACCUGGUACGCCUCGGAGAACAGGCAAAGGAAACAGAAGAAAGAAGCGAGCUGCAGGUCGAGGGGCUUUUAGCCGAGGAGGGGACAGUGCCCCACUGAGCCCUGGGGACAAGGAAGAGGCCAGCCACCAAGAAGCCUUUGGCAAUCUGCCCUCACCAACUGAGCACACGCUUCCAGAAUGCAGCCUGGUUAAGGAGGAAUAUGAAGGCUCAGGGAAGCCAGAAUCUGAGCCAAAAGAGCUCAAAACAGCAGGCAAAAAGGAGCCUCAGCCCUCUGAAGCCUGUGGGCCUGCAGAAGAGGGGGCCAGAGAGAGAGAGCUGGAGGAGCCAGACCUGGUGUGCCUGGCAGUACACGCAGGCCCAGAAGGCCUCCUGUCUGACACUCCAACACCUCCGCUGGAGACUGUGCAGGAAGGAAAAGGGGACAACAUUCCAGAAGAGGCCCUUCCAGUCUCCGUCUCUGAUCACCCUGAUGUAGCUUGGGACUUGAUGGCAUCUGGAUUCCUCAUCCUGACGGGAGGGGUGGACCAGAGUGGGCGAGCUCUGCUGACCAUUACCCCACCGUGCCCUCCUGAGGAGCCCCCACCCUCCCGAGACACGCUGAACACAACUCUUCAUUACCUCCACUCACUGCUCAGGCCUGAUCUACAGAUAUUGGGGCUGUCCGUCCUGCUGGACCUUCGUCAGGCACCUCCACUGCCUCCAGCACUCAUUCCUGUCUUGAGCCAACUUCAGGACUCAGGAGAUCCUCCCCUUGUUCAGCGGCUGCUGAUUCUCAUUCAUGAUGACCUUCCAACUGAACUCUGUGGAUUUCAGGGUGCUGAGGUGCUGUCAGAGAAUGAUCUGAAAAGAGUGGCCAAGCCAGAGGAGCUGCAGUGGGAGUUAGGAGGUCACAGGGACCCCUCUCCCAGUCACUGGGUAGAGAUACACCAGGAAGUGGUAAGGCUAUGUCGCCUGUGCCAAGGUGUGCUGGGCUCCGUACGGCAGGCCAUUGAGGAGCUAGAGGGAGCAGCAGAGCCAGAGGAAGAGGAGGCAGUGGGAAUGCCCAAGCCACUGCAGAAGGUGCUGGCAGAUCCCCGGCUGACGGCACUGCAGAGGGAUGGGGGGGCCAUCCUGAUGAGGCUGCGCUCCACUCACAGCAGCAAGCUGGAGGGCCAAGGCCCAGCUACACUGUAUCAGGAAGUGGACGAGGCCAUUCACCAGCUUGUGCGCCUCUCCAACCUGCACGUGCAGCAGCAAGAGCAGCGGCAGUGCCUGCGGCGACUCCAGCAGGUGUUGCAGUGGCUCUCGGGCCCAGGGGAGGAGCAGCUGGCAAGCUUUGCUAUGCCUGGGGACACCCUGUCUGCCCUGCAGGAGACAGAGCUGCGAUUCCGGGCUUUCAGCGCUGAGGUCCAGGAGCGCCUGGCCCAGGCACGGGGGGCCCUGGCUCUGGAGGAGAAUGCCACCUCCCAGAAGGUGCUGGAUAUCUUUGAACAGCGGCUGGAGCAGGUUGAGAGUGGCCUCCAUCGGGCCCUGCGGCUACAGCGCUUCUUCCAGCAGGCACAUGAAUGGGUGGAUGAGGGCUUUGCUCGUCUGGCAGGAGCUGGGCCGGGUCGGGAGGCUGUGCUGGCUGCACUGGCCCUGCGGCGGGCCCCAGAGCCCAGUGCUGGCACCUUCCAGGAGAUGCGGGCCCUGGCCCUGGACCUAGGCAGCCCAGCAGCCCUGCGAGAAUGGGGCCACUGCCGGGCCCGCUGCCAAGAGCUGGAGAGGAGGAUUCAGCAACAGCUGGGAGAGGAGGCGAGCCCACGGGGCUACCGACGACGGCGGGCAGACAGUGCCAGCAGUGGAGGGGCCCAGUGGGGACCCCACAGCCCCUCGCCCAGCCUCAGCUCCUUGCUGCUCCCCAGCAGCCCUGGGCCACGGCCAGCCCCAUCCCAUUGCUCCCUGGCCCCAUGUGGAGAGGACUAUGAGGAAGAGGGCCCUGAGCUGGCUCCAGAAGCAGAGGGCAGGCCCCCAAGAGCUGUGCUGAUCCGAGGCCUGGAGGUCACCAGCACUGAGGUGGUAGACAGGACAUGCUCACCACGGGAACACGUGCUGCUGGGCCGGGCUGGGGGGCCAGACGGACCCUGGGGAGUAGGCACCCCCCGGAUGGAGCGCAAACGAAGCAUCAGUGCCCAGCAGCGUCUGGUGUCUGAGCUGAUUGCCUGUGAACAAGAUUACGUGGCCACCUUGAGUGAGCCAGUGCCACCCCCUGGGCCUGAGCUGACUCCUGAACUUCGGGGCACCUGGGCUGCUGCCCUGAGUGCCCGGGAAAGACUUCGCAGCUUCCACCGGACACACUUUCUGCGGGAGCUUCAGGGCUGCGCCACCCACCCCCUACGCAUUGGGGCCUGCUUCCUUCGCCACGGGGACCAGUUCAGCCUUUAUGCACAGUACGUGAAGCACCGACACAAACUGGAGAAUGGUCUGGCUGCGCUCAGUCCCUCAAGCAAGGGCUCCAUGGAGGCUGGCCCUUACCUGCCCCGAGCCCUGCAGCAGCCUCUGGAACAGCUGGCUCGGUAUGGGCGGCUCCUGGAGGAGCUCCUGAGGGAAGCUGGGCCUGAGCUCAGUUCUGAGCGCCAGGCCCUUGGGGCUGCUGUACAGCUUCUCCGGGAACAAGAGGCCCGUGGCAGAGACCUGCUGGCCGUGGAGGCGGUGCGUGGCUGUGAGAUAGAUCUGAAGGAGCAGGGACAGCUCUUGCAUCGAGACCCCUUCACUGUCAUCUGUGGCCGAAAGAAGUGCCUUCGCCAUGUCUUUCUCUUUGAGCAUCUCCUCCUGUUCAGCAAGCUCAAGGGCCCUGAAGGGGGUUCAGAAAUGUUUGUUUACAAGCAGGCCUUUAAGACUGCUGACAUGGGGCUGACAGAAAACAUCGGGGACAGCGGACUCUGCUUUGAGUUGUGGUUUCGGCGGCGGCGUGCACGAGAGGCAUACACUCUGCAGGCAACCUCACCAGAGAUCAAACUCAAGUGGACAAGUUCUAUUGCCCAGCUGCUGUGGAGACAGGCAGCCCACAACAAGGAGCUCCGAGUGCAGCAGAUGGUGUCCAUGGGCAUUGGGAAUAAACCCUUCCUGGACAUCAAAGCCCUUGGGGAGCGGACGCUGAGUGCCCUGCUCACUGGAAGAGCCGCCCGCACCCGGGCCUCCGUGGCCGUGUCAUCCUUUGAGCAUGCCGGCCCCUCCCUUCCCGGCCUUUCGCCGGGAGCCUGCUCCCUGCCUGCCCGCGUCGAGGAGGAGGCCUGGGAUCUGGACGUCAAGCAAAUUUCCCUGGCUCUCCUUGGGUUUCUAUGGAAACUGCCUCAGCUUCCUGUUGUACCCUCCUGGUUCACCACGGCAAUCCUUAUAGUUUCCUGUCGCUUCUUCCCUGGUUGCUCUAAUGAUGCUGCUGACAAUUUCCUGCCUCUUGGUAGGGGGUUCCCUUGCAACUGGAUCGCUAUGGUGACUCACAGCUUCCUGUUGCUAUGGAGCUUUUUCUUCCCUGAUGGAGCAGCUUGGUUGCUUAAGGUAAUCUGGAGGGAUUCUAUACUCUGCUCUCACCCUAGCUUCCCCUUUAGCCCCAGAAACACUUGACUCUUCUGGAGAUGUGUCCCCAGGACCAAGAAACAGCCCCAGCCUGCAACCCCCCAACCCUGGGAGCAGCACUCCCACCCUGGCCAGUCGAGGGAUCUUAGGGCUAUCCCGACAGAGUCAUGCUCGAGCCCUGAGUGACCCCACCACGCCUCUGUGACCUGGAGAAGAUCCAGAACUUGCGUGCAGCUUCUCCUCUCAGCACACUUUGGGCUGGGAUGGCAGUGGGGCAUAAUGAAGCACUGGGCGAUCACUGAAUUUCCUCCCUCUGCUUCCUGGACACAGAGGAGGUCUAACGACCAGAGUAUUGCCCUGCCACCACUAUCUCUAGUCUCCCUAGCUUGGUGCCUUCUCCUGCAGGAGCCAGAGCAGCCACAUUGCUUGCCUUCAUACCCUGGAGGUGGGGAAGUUAUCCCUCUUCCGGUGCUUUCCCAUCCUGGGCCACUGUAUCCAGGACAUCACUCCCAUGCCAGCCCUCCCUGGCAGCCCAUGUUCUCCUCUUUUCUCACCCCCUCACUUUCCCUGAGAAGAAUCAUCUCUGCCAGGUCAACUGGAGUUCCUGGUGACUCCAUUCUGAGGUGUCACAAGAAACGAAGCUAUGCAAACAAUAACAGGAGGGUGCGACAGGGGAACUGUAGACUUUAUAUAUGUAAUUACUGUUAUUAUAAUACUAUUGUUAUAUUAAAUGUAUUUACUCACACUUUGCCUCCAAGGAGCUACAGUAGUCCUCUGGAUUAAGGUGAUAAAUAACUUGAGCACUUUCCCUCAACCAGCCCUUAACUAGAACACAGAAAAUAAAACCAAGACUGGAAGGUCCCCUCUACCCCUCCCAGGCCCAGAGCUGACUGUGUAUGAGCCUGGGAGAAUGUGUCUCCUCCACAGUGGCUCCCAGAGGUUCCACACACUCUCUGAAGCUCAUUCUCCCACACUGCACCUACCCCUUGAGGCUGAACUGGUCACAGACAAACUGGGAUCCAGCACAGUCCAGCAGUUCUCAAAAUGAGGUCCUCAGGCCACAGUGCGUGAGAACUUGCUUGGCUAUUUGUUAAAUGCUAAUUCCUGGGCCCCAUCAGAGCUGCUGCAUCGAAACCUGGGGGUAAAACCCAAUAUUCUGCAUUUCUUAUCAAACUCUUUGGGUGAUAACUAAGUGUCUGAAGAGGUGACUAUUUCCUGACAGAAGGACCCAAAGAGGGAAGCAGGACAUAGGUAGGCAGACAGACACAGGGCCCUGUGCCUCAAGACACCUGUUUAUUGGGGACACGACUCUGCAAUAGGGAUGACAGGAAUCGUACCAAAAAUAGCGACGUCUACAGGGCCCCUGAUGGGGCUAGAAGGGUACAGUGCCCCCCACCCUCACCCCUUGUACAAAAAUAAACUCUCACGCCUAUGGACCAGCAAA
This is an RNA transcript of Nomascus leucogenys (northern white-cheeked gibbon), 6452 nucleotides long. It is a transcript of the gene named Rho guanine nucleotide exchange factor 40, with no coding region annotated. NCBI's taxonomy places the organism in Eukaryota, Metazoa, Chordata, Mammalia, Primates, Hylobatidae. The transcript has 24 exons. The record is from RefSeq and is a predicted model, not a curated record.